GAUGAACGCUGGCGGCGUGCCUAACACAUGCAAGUCGAGCGAAAAGACGAUGAUCUUGUUCCGCUGACGUUAGCGGCGGGCGGGUGAGUAACACGUGGAUAACCUACUUAUAAUACUGGUAUAACCUCGGGAAACCGGAUCUAAUACCAUAGAAUAUACUGAACCGCAGUGGUGAAUAGUAAAAGUCGGCUUUUGUGGCUCGUAUCGAGGGUUACGGGCCGCAUUAGCUAGUUGGGAAGUUAAAGGCCUACCAAGGCGACGAUGCGUAGCCGAACUGAGAGGGUGUUAGCCGACAUUGGAACGUAGACGCGCUCAUGAGUACUACGGGAGGCAGCAGUAGGCAAUGUUAGGCAAAGGGCGAAAGUAUGACGGAGCAGCGCCGAGCGAGUGAUGAAGGUCUUCUGAGCGUAAAGAUCUGUUUUUAGGGAAGAACCAAUGUCUAAGUAGAUGUGCACGUCUUGACGGUACCUGAUCAGAAAGCCACGGCUAACUACGUG
Molecule: ribosomal RNA, 497 nt
Filed under: uncultured bacterium
Lineage: Bacteria
Description: partial 16S ribosomal RNA
Rfam family: Bacterial small subunit ribosomal RNA
Source: RNAcentral